AACUUCUCACUCUGUCCGGCCGUCGUGAAGUCGUCGCCACUUGCCAUAUUCUUCUUUUCUCAAAAUCCUAAUGGAUUGUUGAUUUCCCCACCCUAUAAUCGCGAUUUGAGUGAGGAAUUGAGAGAUGCCAGUGCUGUCUCCUCUAACCACGGGAUCUCCGAAACCGGCAACACCUUGUCACACCGCCCUUCUUCGUCAGCAUAUAUUUCCGCCAGAAGUCGAUAGGGAAGGAGAUCUGAAAAGAAUAAUCUGUGAUACUCAUGGAAUUGGAAUUGUCAAAGAAGAAUUUCAUGCGAUUUUGGUGGAUAGACAGUUUAAACAAUCCUAAUUUUAUUAUAGAUAUGAGGUUACAAUCAUAGCUCUGGCUCUGCGAAAAGUUUGUCAUCUAUUGUUAUGAUUUUAGUCAAUUUGGAAGCUAUUUUAGCUGGUAAACUGUUUGAGUUUAUUGCUUGCUCUCAGAGGGUAUGAUAUUCCCUUCAAUUGGAAGAUGAUUUUAGACAUACCUGAUUGAGAAAAACAACAAGGAGACACAAUACAUGCAAUCUCUUAAUUUACCAUGUGCUAUGUAUAUAAAUUGCUUUAUUUAUUUAUUUA
Hevea brasiliensis (rubber tree) is the source of this 594-nucleotide long non-coding RNA. RefSeq lists it as uncharacterized. Lineage: Eukaryota; Viridiplantae; Streptophyta; Magnoliopsida; Malpighiales; Euphorbiaceae. The record is from RefSeq and is a predicted model, not a curated record. The transcript is spliced from 2 exons.